GUACCAUAACCGACACAGGUGGGUAAGUAGAGUAUACUAAGGGGCGCGAGAUAACUCUCUCUAAGGAACUCGGCAAAAUAACUCCGUAACUUCGGGAGAAGGAGAGCCUUAUUCUUAAGGUUGCAAUAACAAGAUCCAAGCAACUGUUUAUCAAAAACACAGGUCUCCGCUAAGUCGUAAGACGAUGUAUGGGGGCUGACGCCUGCCCAGUGCCAGAAGGUUAAAGAAGUCGGUUAGCAAUAGCAAAGCUGGUAACUGAAGCCCUGGUGAACGGCGGCCGUAACAAUAACGGUCCUAAGGUAGCGAAAUUCCUUGUCGGGUAAGUUCCGACCCGCACGAAAGGCGUAAUGAUUUGGAUGCUGUCUCGGAGAGGGGCUCGGUGAAAUAGACUUGUCUGUGAAGAUGCGGACUACCUGCACCAGGACAGAAAGACCCUAUGAAGCUUUACUGUAACUUGAAAUUGAAAUUGGACUUUAUUCGCGCAGUAUAGGUGGGAGGCGUUGAUUAUAAUCUUGUGGGAUUAUUAGAGCCAUCAGUGAGAUACCACUCUUGUAAUGUUAGAUUUCUAACUUUGAAUCAUUAUCUGGUCAAAGGACAGUUUCAGGCGGGCAGUUUGACUGGGGCGGUCGCCUCCUAAACGGUAACGGAGGCGUACAAAGGUUUCCUCUGAACUGUUAGAAAUCGUAUCUAGAGUGUAAAGGCAUAAGGAAGCUUGACUGUGAGACCUACAAGUCGAGCAGGGACGAAAGUCGGUCUUAGUGAUCUGACGGUACUGAGUGGAAAGGCCGUCACUCAACGGAUAAAAGUUACUCUAGGAUAACAGGCUGAUCUCCCCCAAGAGUUCACAUCGACGGGGAGGUUUGGCACCUCGAUGUCGGCUCAUCGCAUCCUGGGGCGGUAGUACGUCCCAAGGGUUGGGCUGUUCGCCCAUGAAAGCGGUACGCGAGCUGGGUUCAGAACGUCGUGAGACAGUUCGGUCCAUAUCCGGUGUAGGCGCUAGAAUAUUGAGAGGAGCCUUCUUUAGUACGAGAGGACCGAGAAGGACAUACCUCUGGUGUACCAGUUAUCGUGCCAACGGUAAACGCUGGGUAGCUAUGUAUGGAGUGGAUAACCGCUGAAAGCAUCUAAGUGGGAAGCCCACCUCAAGAUAAGUAUUCUCAUCACGUAAGUGAGUAAGGUCACGGUAAGACUAACCGUUUGAUAGGCAUUAAGUGUAAGUACAGUAAUGUAUGUGCUGAGAUGUCCUAAUAGACCGAGGACUUGAAC
This 1266-nucleotide ribosomal RNA is filed under the name metagenome. Its description in RNAcentral is "bacterial LSU rRNA". It matches the Rfam family "Bacterial large subunit ribosomal RNA", at positions 1644 to 2925 of the family's 2925-position model. The record is from RNAcentral.